Non-coding RNA from Gautieria morchelliformis, 83 nucleotides. NCBI's taxonomy places the organism in Eukaryota, Fungi, Basidiomycota, Agaricomycetes, Gomphales, Gomphaceae. The record is from the annotation of a GenBank genome assembly.
GCCUUCUUAGCUCAGCGGUAGUAGCGCGUCACUAGUAAGGAAUACAUAUGACGAGGUCGGUCGUUCAAAUCGGCCAGGAGGCA